This 253-nucleotide ribosomal RNA is filed under the name uncultured bacterium. RNAcentral's name for it is "partial 16S ribosomal RNA". It matches the Rfam family "Bacterial small subunit ribosomal RNA", at positions 524 to 776 of the family's 1533-position model. The record is from RNAcentral.
UACGGAGGGGGCUAGCGUUGUUCGGAAUCAUUGGGCGUAAAGGGCGCGUAGGCGGUUUUGCAAGUCGAAUGUGAAAGCCCAGGGCUCAACCUUGGAAGUGCAUCCGAAACUGCGAAACUCGAGUCUCGGAGAGGGUGGUGGAAUUCCCAGUGUAGAGGUGAAAUUCGUAGAUAUUGGGAGGAACACCGGUGGCGAAGGCGACCGCCUGGACGAAGACUGACGCUGAGGCGCGAGAGCGUGGGGAGCAAACAGG